GAUGAAGAACGUAGCGAAAUGCGAUAAGUAAUGUGAAUUGCAGAAUUCAGUGAAUCAUCGAAUCUUUGAACGCACAUUGCGCCCGCCACUAUUCUGGCGGGCAUGCCUGUUCGAGCGUCAUUUCAACCAUCAAGCCCCAGGCUUGUGUUGGAGCCCUGCGGCUGCCGCAGCCUCCCAAAACCAGUGGCGGGCUCGCUAUCACACCGAGUGCAGUAGUUUACUCUUCGCUCAGGGCGUGUGGCGGGUGCUAGCCGUGAAACCCCCAACUUCUCAAGGUUGACCUCGGAUCAGGUAGGAAUACCCGCUGAACUUAAGCAUAUCAAUAAGCGGAGGA
RNAcentral lists this unclassified non-coding RNA (334 nucleotides) under soil metagenome. Its description in RNAcentral is "partial contains 5.8S ribosomal RNA, internal transcribed spacer 2, and large subunit ribosomal RNA". The stretch from base 1 to 120 matches the Rfam family "5.8S ribosomal RNA", at positions 35 to 154 of the family's 154-position model. The record is from RNAcentral.